Molecule: non-coding RNA, 809 nt
Organism: Callithrix jacchus (white-tufted-ear marmoset)
Lineage: Eukaryota; Metazoa; Chordata; Mammalia; Primates; Cebidae
Source: RefSeq, a predicted model, not a curated record
CCUGUCAUGCUGUUUGUUCUUUGUGUGUGUGGUUUUUUUUUAAAUAAAAAAAUUGUUUACUUUCCAGUGUCAUUUUAACUUGGUACUGGUAAGCAUCUGGCCUGGGUAUUUUCCAUUAGCAUCAAAAUUCAGAAGGCUACAGAAAGAAAUACCUAUAACCUAGCAGUGAGAGAGCCACUUCAUUACAUGGCCAGGCAAUAUGUCUUGCAUUUCUCUAGUGUAAAUAAAAUGAUGAUUCAAAGAAUGGUCCCCAUUAAUGAGUAUCUGAUUUAGAAUAAAAUAAAAUCCAUGCUGGGAAGUUGAUGAGCUUGAUUUUGCUGAAUUGCUUUGAGCAUGCAGCUUAUAUUUAUUGGUUCUUUCCUUUUGACAAUUGUCACCAGUUGUCUGCUGUUCUUUCUGCUGAGCAGAAAAGGAGAGGGCUUGAAGGUUGAUUUUAGUUCCCUGUAACUGGAGGUGACAUGUGAAAGCUCAAAGCUAUUGAAAAGCUGCAAAGCCUUCCACACACAGCUGCAGUAGGAGGGCAUAGGAAGUGGGUCAACACUUUUGGAGGACUGGGUGAAGUUCAGGAUCCUGAAGCCCUACUUUUGGUUGCCCAGUGUUCCUUCUAACAGUAAGGCCCCUCUGCUGCAGGACUGCUGGAUGUCCACUUCAGACACUGCUUUCCUGGGAAUCACCUGUGGGGCUGCAGAACAGGGGAGAGCUGAAUGUAGGCUCCAGCUGGAAAAUGGCAUUGAAGCCUGAUUGCUUGUUACUACUCAGAAUGCCAUCUACAUACACACACACACACACACACACACAAAGCAAUAAAG